UGCGUAGGUGGUUUGUUAAGUCUGAUGUGAAAGCCCUGGGCUCAACCUGGGAAUUGCAUUGGAUACUGGCAGGCUAGAGUGCGGUAGAGGGUAGUGGAAUUCCCGGUGUAGCAGUGAAAUGCGUAGAGAUCGGGAGGAACAUCUGUGGCGAAGGCGACUACCUGGACCAGCACUGACACUGAGGCACGAAAGCGUGGGGAGCAAACAGGAUUAGAUACCCUGGUAGUCC
Molecule: ribosomal RNA, 229 nt
Filed under: uncultured bacterium
Lineage: Bacteria
Description: partial 16S ribosomal RNA
Rfam family: Bacterial small subunit ribosomal RNA
Source: RNAcentral